GUGGGACUGCCAAGAUGAAUAGACAUAAUCCUCGAUCUAACCACUUCACAGUUUAUCAUCGGAGUCAAGUUUGCAGAUAAACAAUUGCCAUGCAACUUUCAAGACAGUUGUUCAUCUGCUUCCAGAAAAUGGUGCCUGAGAUGAGCAAGGUCAGCAGACAAGAAGUGAGGUCAAUGUCAGGUUUCCAUGCCAGCAGCGGGAACUCUGGAUACAGUGGAGAGUCACAGCUGGUCAAACCCUGAACCGCUUGCUCCUUGAAAUGGCCAGAGAGGCCCAUCCCAGAGCCAUCUCAUCAUCUCUCCUCAGACAGGAAACCGAGAAGGAAAACAAUCAGCUCUGUUCUCUCUGGGCCGAGGGAGUGAGCUGUAAUGAGGGAGCACAGGAACGCAUUGGGCGCCCUCAGACCUGAACACACAGGUUAGCACCACCUGCCUGGCUGACCUGGCUCACAGGUGCGCGGUUGCCAGUUGAGAAUAACUCAUCCAGGGUUGUUGAAUGGUGGAGGAUCUUCCAAAAUCAGCAGCUAGGAGGUCGAGAACCCUUCAUGCCAUAC
This 553-nucleotide long non-coding RNA is filed under the name Homo sapiens (human). RNAcentral's name for it is "non-protein coding lnc-MBOAT1-2:25". Lineage: Eukaryota; Metazoa; Chordata; Mammalia; Primates; Hominidae. The record is from RNAcentral.